RNAcentral lists this ribosomal RNA (435 nucleotides) under uncultured Macrococcus sp. RNAcentral describes it as "bacterial SSU rRNA". It matches the Rfam family "Bacterial small subunit ribosomal RNA", at positions 21 to 443 of the family's 1533-position model. Lineage: Bacteria; Bacillati; Bacillota; Bacilli; Caryophanales; Staphylococcaceae. The record is from RNAcentral.
GGCUCAGGAUGAACGCUGGCGGCGUGCCUAAUACAUGCAAGUCGAGCGAACGGACAGGAGUGCUUGCACUCCUUGAAGUUAGCGGCGGACGGGUGAGUAACACGUGGGUAACCUACCUAUAAGACUGGGAUAACUUCGGGAAACCGGAGCUAAUACCGGAUAAUAUAUACCUCCGCAUGGAGGAAUAGUCAAAGACGGUUCUGCUGUCACUUAUAGAUGGACCCGCGGUGUAUUAGCUAGUUGGUGAGGUAACGGCUCACCAAGGCAACGAUACAUAGCCGACCUGAGAGGGUGAUCGGCCACACUGGGACUGAGACACGGCCCAGACUCCUACGGGAGGCAGCAGUAGGGAAUCUUCCGCNAUGGACGAAAGUCUGACGGAGCAACGCCGCGUGAGUGAAGAAGGUUUUCGGAUCGUAANACUCUGUUGUAAGG